This 201-nucleotide unclassified non-coding RNA is filed under the name Hevea brasiliensis (rubber tree). Lineage: Eukaryota; Viridiplantae; Streptophyta; Magnoliopsida; Malpighiales; Euphorbiaceae. The record is from RNAcentral.
CGAUGAGCUGACGCCGGUGAACAACCGCGCUGUGGCUUCCAUCGACGGCGUCCGCGACAAGCUGCGCGUGCUGCUGGUGUCCGGUGAGCCGCAUUCCGGCGAACGCACCUGGCGCAACCGUCCGACGCCAGCGUCGAUCUUGUGCAUUUCACCAUUCUGCGCCCGCCCGAGAAACAGGACGGCACCCCGAUCAACGAACUG